This 127-nucleotide ribosomal RNA is filed under the name Fusarium oxysporum. RNAcentral describes it as "partial large subunit ribosomal RNA". The record is from RNAcentral. Lineage: Eukaryota; Fungi; Ascomycota; Sordariomycetes; Hypocreales; Nectriaceae.
AAGCGUUUAUGACCAGACUUGGGCUUGGUUAAUCAUCUGGGGUUCUCCCCAGUGCACUUUUCCAGUCCAGGCCAGCAUCAGUUUUCCCCGGGGGAUAAAGGCGGCGGGAAUGUGGCUCUCUUCGGGG